Molecule: long non-coding RNA, 1219 nt
Filed under: Equus asinus (donkey)
Lineage: Eukaryota; Metazoa; Chordata; Mammalia; Perissodactyla; Equidae
Description: lncRNA (ENSEASG00005038557.1)
Source: RNAcentral
AUCCCCUCCCCUCAGUCUACACAUCCUGCUGGAAUCCACUCCCCUUGACUGUGGUCUGAAGUUUGUCAUUGCCUGUUACUCUGUGGAAGAGGGCACAGUGAUGCGCAGGCAGUUCUGAGACUGGGUCCCAAACAGUCCGGGGCUCCCCUCCUUCUGGCUCUGACCUGUGUUCUCUCUCUCCCUCAUAUCCCUCACUCUGGGGAACAAGACUGUGUGUUCUAGGUUGCACCCUAGAGAGGCCGACGUGGCCUGGCCUUGAAGGAGACUCACCGACAGAGGGGCCUGCAGGCCUUCAGUCGCAUGGCGCCCUCCAGGACCCCAGAGUGCGCUCAGAGCAGGAGGGAUGCAGAUCCUGCCUCAGUUCCGAGCACAGCCCGACCCCCUGAGAGCCUCUGGCAGAAGCUCCCAGCUGAGCGCUGCUGGAUUCCUGGUCCAGUGCAACCAUGACAUAAUCAAGUUGUAGGUGCCAGGCAGUCUCUGAGGAGUUGUUGAUAGAUGAAGAAAGAGUCCUGUUCACAACCAAGAAAGCAAGGUACCAGUGAGAUUCAUUGUGGGCCAACAGUGUCACCUUUCUACAAAAAGAUACGAUUCCUAUAACCGGGUCAACCCAUCAUCAUUCUCAGAGCAACAACAAACUUCCCUCAGGAUCAAAGAUGAUCACUUCAAGGUUUUGGAACUGUGCAUUACUGUGCUGAAAUAACGAUGAAGCUCAUACAUGUAAAAAUAGAUGGAUUAGGUAGAAAACAUAGUUUUAUUUCCACUUCAACUAUAACAUUCCUUCCCUGAUUUUCUAAGAGUUGUGCCUCUGCAGCACGGUCUGGGGAUUUAUUCAUUUUUUACACUGUGUUUCUCUCUGGUGUAUUUCUCUUGCAGGACUUCUGGGAAUUUGGGAAAUAAUGAAAUUUGGUUCCGUAUGAUGUUCAUAGACAAAUGCAAUGGAACAGACUGACCACAGGUGGGAGACACACCUACAAGAUAUUCAUCAUCACUGACAGAAGAAAAGAACAAUGAAAGACCCUGGAAUCCGUCAUGCCUGAAGGCUGACAUUUCUAAACCCUCUCCUUACUGUCCACUUUCCCUAUAUAAUUGCUUCAAGAUUCUGUAAUCCUUGAAGAUGGUUUUUUUUGAGACAUUAGUCUACCAUCUUCCUGAUUAUGCUGGCUCAUAAAAUUAAAACUUCCUUUCUCCAUUCCUAACUUGUUGUAAUUAAUUGACUCAG